AGUGAACGCUGGCGGUAGGCCUAACACAUGCAAGUCGAACGGCAGCACAGUAAGAGCUUGCUCUUACGGGUGGCGAGUGGCGGACGGGUGAGGAAUACAUCGGAAUCUACUUUUUCGUGGGGGAUAACGUAGGGACACUUACGCUAAUACCGCAUACGACCUACGGGUGAAAGCAGGGGAUCUUCGGACCUUGCGCGAUUGAAUGAGCCGAUGUCGGAUUAGCUAGUUGGCGGGGUAAAGGCCCACCAAGGCGACGAUCCGUAGCUGGUCUGAGAGGAUGAUCAGCCACACUGGAACUGAGACACGGUCCAGAUUCCUACGGGAGGCAGCAGUGGGGAAUAUUGGACAAUGGGCGCAAGCCUGAUCCAGCCAUACCGCGUGGGUGAAGAAGGCCUUCGGGUUGUAAAGCCCUUUUGUUGGGAAAGAAAAGCAGCAGGUUAAUACCCCGCUGUUCUGACGGUACCCAAAGAAUAAGCACCGGCUAACUUCGUG
Molecule: ribosomal RNA, 492 nt
Filed under: uncultured bacterium
Lineage: Bacteria
Description: partial 16S ribosomal RNA
Rfam family: Bacterial small subunit ribosomal RNA
Source: RNAcentral